ACUCCUACGGGAGGCAGCAGUGGGGAAUCUUGGACAAUGGGGGAAACCCUGAUCCAGCAAUGCCGCGUGUGGGAUGAAGGCCCUCGGGUUGUAAACCACUUUUGGCAGGAAAGAAAUCGCCUGUGCUAAUACCACGGGCGGAUGACGGUACCUGCAGAAUAAGCACCGGCUAACUACGUGCCAGCAGCCGCGGUAAUACGUAGGGUGCGAGCGUUAAUCGGAAUUACUGGGCGUAAAGAGUGCGUAGGCGGUUUUGUAAGACAGAUGUGAAAUCCCCGGGCUUAACCUGGGAACUGCAUUUGUGACUGCAAGACUAGAGUGUGUCAGAGGGAGGUGGAAUUCCGCGUGUAGCAGUGAAAUGCGUAGAGAUGCGGAAGAACACCGAUGGCGAAGGCAGCCUCCUGGGAUAACACUGACGCUCAGGCACGAAAGCGUGGGGAGCAAACAGGAUUAGAUACCCUGGUAGUCCACGCCCUAAACGAUGUCAACUGGUUGUUGGGGAUUCAUUUCCUUAGUAACGUAGCUAACGCGUGAAGUUGACCGCCUGGGGAGUACGGCCGCAAGGUUAAAACUCAAAGGAAUUGACGGGACC
RNAcentral lists this ribosomal RNA (592 nucleotides) under uncultured bacterium. Its description in RNAcentral is "bacterial SSU rRNA". It matches the Rfam family "Bacterial small subunit ribosomal RNA", at positions 335 to 920 of the family's 1533-position model. The record is from RNAcentral.